GGCGGCGUGCUUAACACAUGCAAGUCGAACGGUGAACACGGAGCUUGCUCUGUGGGAUCAGUGGCGAACGGGUGAGUAACACGUGAGCAACCUGCCCCUGACUCUGGGAUAAGCGCUGGAAACGGCGUCUAAUACUGGAUAUGUGACGUGACCGCAUGGUCUGCGUUUGGAAAGAUUUUUCGGUUGGGGAGGGGCUCGCGGCCUAUCAGCUUGUUGGUGAGGUAAUGGCUCACCAAGGCGUCGACGGGUAGCCGGCCUGAGAGGGUGACCGGCCACACUGGGACUGAGACACGGCCCAGACUCCUACGGGAGGCAGCAGUGGGGAAUAUUGCACAAUGGGCGAAAGCCUGAUGCAGCAACGCCGCGUGAGGGAUGACGGCCUUCGGGUUGUAAACCUCUUUUAGCAGGGAAGAAGCGAAAGUGACGGUACCUGCAGAAAAAGCGCCGGCUAACUACGUGCCAGCAGCCGCGGUAAUACGUAGGGCGCAAGCGUUAUCCGGAAUUAUUGGGCGUAAAGAGCUCGUAGGCGGUUUGUCGCGUCUGCUGUGAAAUCCCGAGGCUCAACCUCGGGCCUGCAGUGGGUACGGGCAGACUAGAGUGCGGUAGGGGAGAUUGGAAUUCCUGGUGUAGCGGUGGAAUGCGCAGAUAUCAGGAGGAACACCGAUGGCGAAGGCAGAUCUCUGGGCCGUAACUGACGCUGAGGAGCGAAAGGGUGGGGAGCAAACAGGCUUAGAUACCCUGGUAGUCCACCCCGUAAACGUUGGGAACUAGUUGUGGGGUCCAUUCCACGGAUUCCGUGACGCAGCUAACGCAUUAAGUUCCCCGCCUGGGGAGUACGGCCGCAAGGCUAAAACUCAAAGGAAUUGACGGGGACCCGCACAAGCGGCGGAGCAUGCGGAUUAAUUCGAUGC
Molecule: ribosomal RNA, 911 nt
Filed under: Microbacterium paraoxydans
Lineage: Bacteria; Bacillati; Actinomycetota; Actinomycetes; Micrococcales; Microbacteriaceae
Description: bacterial SSU rRNA
Rfam family: Bacterial small subunit ribosomal RNA
Source: RNAcentral